AAUAGAUACCCGGGUAGUCCACGCCGUAAACGGUGGGCACUAGGUGUGGGGACCAUUCCACGGUCUCUGCGCCGCAGCUAACGCAUUAAGUGCCCCGCCUGGGGAGUACGGCCGCAAGGCUAAAACUCAAAGGAAUUGACGGGGGGCCCGCACAAGCGGCGGAGCAUGCGGCUUAAUUCGAAGCAACGCGAAGAACCUUACCUAGGCUUGACAUGCAGGGAAAUCUGGCAGAGAUGCCAGGUCCUUCGGGCCUUGCACAGGUGGUGCAUGGCUGUCGUCAGCUCGUGUCGUGAGAUGUUGGGUUAAGUCCCGCAACGAGCGCAACCCUCGUUCUAUGUUGCCAGCGGUUCGGCCGGGGACUCAUAGAAGACUGCCGGGGUCAACUCGGAGGAAGGUGGGGAGUGACGUCAAGUCAUCAUGCCCCUUAUGUCUAGGGCUGCACGCAUGCUACAAUGGUUGGUACAAAGGGCUGCAAUACCGCGAAGGUGGAGCGAAUCCCGAAAAAACGCCGGCCUCGAGUUCGGAGUUGGGGUCUGC
Molecule: ribosomal RNA, 537 nt
Filed under: uncultured bacterium
Lineage: Bacteria
Description: bacterial SSU rRNA
Rfam family: Bacterial small subunit ribosomal RNA
Source: RNAcentral